RNAcentral lists this ribosomal RNA (465 nucleotides) under Vreelandella stevensii. RNAcentral describes it as "partial 16S ribosomal RNA". It matches the Rfam family "Bacterial small subunit ribosomal RNA", at positions 338 to 795 of the family's 1533-position model. Lineage: Bacteria; Pseudomonadati; Pseudomonadota; Gammaproteobacteria; Oceanospirillales; Halomonadaceae. The record is from RNAcentral.
CCUACGGGAGGCAGCAGUGGGGAAUAUUGGACAAUGGGGGCAACCCUGAUCCAGCCAUGCCGCGUGUGUGAAGAAGGCCCUCGGGUUGUAAAGCACUUUCAGUGAGGAAGAACGCCUGGUGGUUAAUACCCAUCAGGAAAGACAUCACUCACAGAAGAAGCACCGGCUAACUCCGUGCCAGCAGCCGCGGUAAUACGGAGGGUGCGAGCGUUAAUCGGAAUUACUGGGCGUAAAGCGCGCGUAGGUGGCUUGAUAAGCCGGUUGUGAAAGCCCCGGGCUCAACCUGGGAACGGCAUCCGGAACUGUCAAGCUAGAGGGCAGGAGAGGAAGGUAGAAUUCCCGGUGUAGCGGUGAAAUGCGUAGAGAUCGGGAGGAAUACCAGUGGCGAAGGCGGCCUUCUGGACUGACACUGACACUGAGGUGCGAAAGCGUGGGUAGCAAACAGGAUUAGAUACCCGAGUAGUC